GAUCAUAUCCGUAGAACUUGUCUGACUACUCAGGGCCAGGUAGGUGGGACAGUGUAUGAAAGAUUAAUUGGUUUUCAUGUGAGCUCUAACCUGUGUAGUCAGUAACUGGGUAAAUUGCAAAACACCAGCAUUC
Molecule: small nucleolar RNA, 133 nt
Organism: Meriones unguiculatus (Mongolian gerbil)
Lineage: Eukaryota; Metazoa; Chordata; Mammalia; Rodentia; Muridae
Source: Ensembl